UCAAAUGCAGAUAUAAACGAGGAAUCCUGGAUUCUUGAAUGAUCCUGUGGAGCACAGCAGACCUCAGGGUGAAGAGUUCACUUAACUCAACACUGUUAAGUGAGAAUUAAGUAAACUUAUGCUGUGUUUGGCUAAGGAAUAAACCAGUGAGAUCCAGCUGAACUAUUCAAAUGACACUGAAGGACUGAAGAUUCUCAAGGAUGCAGGGUUUUGAAGAUGUUCACAAAUCAAUAUAAAGAAAUAGAGAUGAGAAGGCGGAACAAGAUGGCUGAAUAGAAGCCUCCAGCGAUUGUCCCUCCCACGAAACACCAAACAGAACAUCUAUCCACAGAAAAAAAGCAUGUUCAUAAGAACCAAAAAUCAGACGCUGAUGAACACCCACAAGCAUCAAGGCCAUCCGGGGAAACAUGAUGUCACCAAUGAACUAAAUAAGGCACCACGGACCAGUCCUAGAGAGACACAGAUAUAUUACCUUUUAGACUGAGAGUUCAAAAUAGCUGUUUUGAGGAAGCUCAACAAAAUCCAAGAUAACACAGAGAAGGAAAUUUAACAAAGAGAUUGAAAUAAAAAGAAUCAGCAGAAAUUCUGGAGCUGAAAAAUGUGAUUGACAUACUGAAGAAUGUAUCAGAGUCUCUUAACAGCAGAAUUGAUCAAGCAGAAGAAAGAAUUAGUGAGCUUGAAGACAGGUUAUUUGAAAACACACAGUCAGAGGAGACAAAAUAAAAAAGAAUAUAAAAGAAUGAAGCACACCAACAAGAUCUAGAAAAUAGCUUCAAAAAGGCAAAUCUAAGAGUUAUUGGCCUUAAAGAGGAGGUAGAGAGGGAGAUGGGGGUAGAAAGUUUAUUCAAAUGGAUAAUAAUAGAGAACUCCCCAAAUCUAGAGAAACAUAUCAACAUAGUACAAGAAGGUUAUAGAGCACCAAUUUAACUCAAAUAAGACUACCUCAAGGCAUUCAAUAAUCAACUCCCACAGGUGAAGGAUAUAGAAAUGAUCCUAAAAGCAGCAAAAGAAGCAAAUAACAUACAAAGGAGCUCCAAUUCGUCUGGCAGGAAACUUCUCAGUGGAAAUCUUACAGACCAGGAGAGAGUGGCAAGAUUUAAAGUGCUGAAGGAAAAAAAUUUUAUCCUAGAAUAGCAUAUCUAGUGAAAAUAUUCUACAAACAUGAAGGAGAAAUAAAGGCUUUCCCAGACACCCCCCGCCAAAAAAAAAGAUUUUAUUAACACCAGACCUGUUCUACAAGAAAUGCUAAAGGGAUUUCUUCAAUCUGAAAGAAAAGGAUGCUAAUGAGCAAUAAGAAAUCAUUUGAAGGUACAAAACUCACUGGUAAUAGUAAGUACACAGAAAUACACAGAAUAUUAUAACACUAAUUGUGGUGUGCAAACUACUCAUAUAUUGAGUAGAAAGACUAAAAGAUGAACCUCUCAAAGAAUCAUAACUACAACAACUUUUCCAGACAUAGAGAGUAUAAGAAGAUAUAAAUAGAAACAAGAAACAAGUAAAAGUCAAAAAGCAGAGGGAUAAAGUUAAAGUGCAGAGUUUGUAUUAGUUUUCUCUGCUUGUUUAUUAGUUUGUUUAUGCAAUUAAUGUUAAGUUGUCAUCAGUUUAAAAUAAUGGAUUAUAAGAUAUCAUUUGCAAGCUUCAUGGUAACCUCAAAUCAAAAAACAUACAACAGAUACACAAAAAGUAACCUUCCACCUAAGAAAAUCACCUUCACUGAAAGGACGACAGGAAGGAAGGAAAGAAGGAAGAGAAGACCACAAAACCAGAAAACAAAUAACAGAAUGGCAGAAGUAAGCCCUUACUUAUCAAUAAUAACAUUGAAUGUAGAUGAAAUAAACUCUCCAAUCAAAAGACAGAGUGAGCCAGGCACAGUGGCUCAUAUGUGUAAUCCCAGCACUUUGGGAGGCGGAGGUAGGAGGAUCUCUUGAGUCCAGGAGUUUGAGACCAGCCAAGGCAAUAUAGGAAGACCCAAUCUUUCCAAAAAGGAAUUAGCCAAGCAUGGUGGCAUGCACCUGUGGUCCCAGCUACACAGGAGGCUGAGGUGGGAGAAUCACUUGAGCCAGGGAGUUUGAGGCUGCAGUGAGCCAUGAUUGCACCACUGCACUGCAACCUGGGCAACAGAGGGAGAUCUUGUCUCAAAAAAUAAAAAAAGACAUAGACUGGCUAUAUAUGCCAAUCAGUUGGGAAAUCCGGAAGAAAUGAAUAAAUUCUUAGACACAUAUAAUUUAUCAGGAUCGAACCAUGAAGAAAUCCAAAACCUGAACAGACAACGUGUAACAAGACUGAGGCCAUAAUAAAAAGUCUUUCAGCAAAGAAAAGCUCAGCACCCAGUGGCUUCACUGUUGAAUCUUACCAAACAUUUACAGAAGAACUAACACCAAUCCUACUCAACCUAUUCUGAAAACUAGAGGAGGAAAGAAUACUUCUGAACUCAUUCUAUGUGGCCAGUAUUACCUUGAUACAAAAACCAGACAAAGACAUGUCAAAAGAGAGAAAGAAACAAGAAAGAAAGAAAGGAAGAAAGAAAGAAAGAAAGAAAGAAAGAAAGAAAGAAAGAAAGAAAGAAAGAAAGAAAGAAAGAAAGAGAAAGAAAACUACAGGCCAAUAUCCCCCUGAUGAACACUGAUGCAAAAAUCCUCCACAAAAUACUAGCAAACUGAAAUCUACAACAAAUUUAAAAGAUCAUUCUUCAUGAUCAAGUGGCAUUUAUCCUAAGGAUGAUUCAAUAAAUGCAAAUCAAUUUAUGUGACACAUAACAUCAACAGAAUGAAGGACAAAAGCCAUAUGAUGCUGAAAAAGCACUUGACAAAAUUCAAGAUCCCUUCCUUCAUGAUAAAAAUCAAAAUCCUUAAAAAUCUGGGUACACUAAGAGUUUGAGACCAGCCUGGGCAACAUGGCGAAACCAUGUCUCUACAAAAAAAGAAAAAAAAAAUUAGCCAGGCAUGUGGGCAUGUGCCUGUACUUCCAGCUACUCAGGAGGCUGAGGUGGGAGAAUCCCUUGAGCCUGGGAAGUGGAGGUUGCAGUGAGCCGAGAUUGCACCACAGCACUCCAGCCUGGGUGACAGAGUGAGACCCUGUCUCAAAAACAAACAAACAAAAAUACAAAAAAAACUGGGUACAGAAGGAACGUACCUCAACACAAUAAAAGCCAUCUACAGCAGACACACAGCUAGUAUCAUGUUGAAUUGGGAAAAACUGAAAGCCUUUCCUCUAAGAUUUGGAACGUGAAAAGGAUGGCUACUUUCACCACUGUUACUCAACAUAGUACUGGAUGUCCUAGCUAGAGCAAUCAAACAAGAGAAAGAAAUAAAAGGAAUCCAAAUUAGAAAGAAAGAAGUCAAAUUAUCUUUGUUUGCAGAUAAUAUGCUUUUAUAUUUGGAAAAACCUAAAGACUCCAUCAAAAAACUAUUGGAACUGAUAAACAUGAAUUCAAUAAAGUUGCAGGAUACAAAAUCAACAUACAAAAAUCAGUAGCAUUUCUAUAUGUCAACAGUGAACAAUCUGAAAAAUAAAACAAAAAA
Molecule: long non-coding RNA, 3521 nt
Organism: Homo sapiens (human)
Lineage: Eukaryota; Metazoa; Chordata; Mammalia; Primates; Hominidae
Exons: 3
Source: RefSeq, a predicted model, not a curated record